CCUACGGGUGGCAGCAGUGAGGAAUAUUGGUCAAUGGACGGAAGUCUGAACCAGCCAAGUAGCGUGAAGGAUGACUGCCCUAUGGGUUGUAAACUUCUUUUAUAUGGGAAUAAAGUGUUCCACGUGUGGGAUUUUGUAUGUACCAUAUGAAUAAGGAUCGGCUAACUCCGUGCCAGCAGCCGCGGUAAUACGGAGGAUCCGAGCGUUAUCCGGAUUUAUUGGGUUUAAAGGGAGCGUAGGUGGAUUGUUAAGGCAGUUGUGAAAGUUUGCGGCUCAACCGUAGAAUUGCAGUUGAAACUGGCAGUCUUGAGUACAGUAGAGGUGGGCGGAAUUCGUGGUGUAGCGGUGAAAUGCUUAGAUAUCACGAAGAACCCCGAUUGCGAAGGCAGCUUACUGCAGUGCAACUGACACUGAGGCUCGAAAGUGUGGGUAUCAAACAGGAUUAGAUACCCUGGUAGUC
This 460-nucleotide ribosomal RNA is filed under the name uncultured bacterium. RNAcentral describes it as "partial 16S ribosomal RNA". It matches the Rfam family "Bacterial small subunit ribosomal RNA", at positions 338 to 795 of the family's 1533-position model. The record is from RNAcentral.